RNAcentral lists this ribosomal RNA (322 nucleotides) under uncultured eukaryote. RNAcentral's name for it is "partial 18S ribosomal RNA". It matches the Rfam family "Eukaryotic small subunit ribosomal RNA", at positions 1470 to 1796 of the family's 1831-position model. The record is from RNAcentral.
CCCUUAGAUGUUCUGGGCCGCACGCGUGCUACACUGAGUGGAUCAGCGGGUCAGGUUGCGCGAAAGCGUUUCCUAAUCUUUAAAUCCGCUCGUGAUGGGGAUUGACGGUUGCAAUUUUCCGUCAUGAACGAGGAAUACCUUGUAAGCGCGGGUCAUCAUCCCGCGCUGAAUACGUCCCUGCCCUUUGUACACACCGCCCGUCGCUCCUACCGAUUGAGUGGUCCGGUGAGGCUUUGGGAUCUGAGCGGAAAGAGCGUUUCGCUGUUUCUGCCCGGAAAACUCAAUCGAACCUUAUCAUUUAGAGGAAGGAGAAGUCGUAACA